UCCGUUCGAAGAGUUGGGGGGUCUUACCUGCCCACUGCAAAGUAAAUGGCUGCGGUAAUUUGACCGUGCUAAGGUAGCAUAAUCAAUAGUUUUCUAAUUUAAAACUGGAAUGAACGGUAUGACGGAAAGUGAGCUCUAUCAGUAGUGAGAUUUGAAUUUUACUUCUAAGUGAAAAGGCUUAGAUGAUUGUAAGGGACGAUAAGACCCUAUAAAACUUAAUAACGUUGGCUUGUCAAAGGUGUGGGGUGAAAAAUUGACAAAAUUAAAAUUUUAUUUAGUUGGGGUGACUAAGAUAUAAGUAAAUAGCUGUCUAGGUUAGACCAAUAAAAAAUACUUUGUUAUUAAAUCCACUAUUAGAGAUUUCAAACCAAGUUACUUUAGGGAUAACAGCGUAAUUUUUUCUGAGAGUCCAUAUCGAAGAAACUAGUUGCGACCUCGAUGUUGAAUUAAAAUUUUUGAUUGACGCAGGUGUUAAAAAAAUGGGUCUGUUCGACCUUUAAAAUUUUACAUGAUUUGAGUUCAGACCGGCGUGAG
Molecule: ribosomal RNA, 534 nt
Filed under: Hippolyte zostericola
Lineage: Eukaryota; Metazoa; Arthropoda; Malacostraca; Decapoda; Hippolytidae
Description: partial 16S ribosomal RNA
Rfam family: Bacterial large subunit ribosomal RNA
Source: RNAcentral